UAGAUGAUUUAGAGACGCGAUCCUGUUUCUUACAUUUCCAAGAGAUUAAUGCAUCACCCAAAAACAUACACCAACCCGUAGUAGAACAACACGUAUUCGGACACCCAGCCCAAUCAGCAUCACUGUAGGCAGAAAGCUGAAGAGACGACCCUUUAGGAAAAAUAACGCACGAGUGGAUGAUCCGCGAAUAUAGCGAAUAAUACGAUGAACGGUCGCAAGAUGAAGAUGCCGAAGUGAAGACAUAAACUGGCUGACCUGAUGAACGGCAUAAGAGAUAUCUAGGCGAGUGGUAAUCAAAUAGAUGAGACUCCCAACGAGGCGACGAUAUAGAGUAGGAUCGUCUAGAAGAUCCCCUUCAUCUUUCCGAUACUUUACAUUGACUUCCAUAGGAGUAUCCAUAGAAGAAGACUUCUCCAACCCAGCUAACACAAUAAGAUCCUGAAUAUACUAAUGCUGGUUUAAGAAAAUACCAUUGGGCUGAUGAUGAACUUCGCGUCCUAAGAAGUAUGUGAGUUGGCCUAGAUCUUUCAUGUGAAAAGUUGCAUGUAAUAACUUUUGAAGCUUUGAAAUAAAACCACAAUCAGUGCCAGUAAUAAUGAUAUCAUCCACAUAAACCAAGAGAAGUACAAUACCAGAGGUAGACUUGUGGAAAAAGAGAGAAGAAUCAUACUGACUCUGUGCAAAACUAAAGGUAAUGAGUGUGCUACGAAACUUCUCAAACCAAGCCCGGGGAGCAUGCUUGAGUCCAUACAAAGAACGUCGUAGUCUACAAACAUCAUGAGGAGAUGAAGUAGUCAUACCAGAAGGAGCUUCAUAUAAAUCUCUUCGUGAAGAUCGCCGUGAAGAAAGGCAUUCUUAACAUCUAAUUGAUGUAAGUUCCAUGACUGCGAGGCAGCAAUAGCUAGGAUCGUCCUGAUUGUCAUCAUUUUGGCGAUAGGAGCAAAUGUCUCCUCAUAGUCAACCCCAUAUUCCUAUCUGUUACCCAGAAUCAGAUCGCAAGAUCUUAAUGAUGCUAGAAAAUUGAGUCUCAACAAGAGCAAGGAAACGCUUAAAGACUGAAAAGACUUCUAAUUUGGCUCUUAAAAAAU
RNAcentral lists this long non-coding RNA (1088 nucleotides) under Olea europaea subsp. europaea. The record is from RNAcentral. Lineage: Eukaryota; Viridiplantae; Streptophyta; Magnoliopsida; Lamiales; Oleaceae.